This 491-nucleotide ribosomal RNA is filed under the name uncultured bacterium. RNAcentral describes it as "partial 16S ribosomal RNA". It matches the Rfam family "Bacterial small subunit ribosomal RNA", at positions 29 to 506 of the family's 1533-position model. The record is from RNAcentral.
AGUGAACGCUGGCGGUAGGCCUAACACGUGCCAGUCGAACGGCAGCACAGUAAGAGCUUGCUCUUACGGGUGGCGAGUGGCGGACGGGUGAGGAAUACAUCGGAAUCUACUUUUUCGUGGGGGAUAACGUAGGGAAACUUACGCUAAUACCGCAUACGACCUACGGGUGAAAGCAGGGGAUCUUCGGACCUUGCGCGAUUGAAUGAGCCGAUGUCGGAUUAGCUAGUUGGCGGGGUAAAGGCCCACCAAGGCGACGAUCCGUAGCUGGUCUGAGAGGAUGAUCAGCCACACUGGAACUGAGACACGGUCCAGACUCCUACGGGAGGCAGCAGUGGGGAAUAUUGGACAAUGGGCGCAAGCCUGAUCCAGCCAUACCGCGUGGGUGAAGAAGGCCUUCGGGUUGUAAAGCCCUUUUGUUGGGAAAGAAAAGCAGCAGGUUAAUACCCCGCUGUUCUGACGGUACCCAAAGAAUAAGCACCGGCUAACUUCGU